This 352-nucleotide unclassified non-coding RNA is filed under the name soil metagenome. Its description in RNAcentral is "partial contains 5.8S ribosomal RNA, internal transcribed spacer 2, and large subunit ribosomal RNA". The stretch from base 1 to 120 matches the Rfam family "5.8S ribosomal RNA", at positions 35 to 154 of the family's 154-position model. The record is from RNAcentral.
GAUGAAGAACGUAGCGAAAUGCGAUAAGUAAUGUGAAUUGCAGAAUUCAGUGAAUCAUCGAAUCUUUGAACGCACAUUGCGCCCGCCAGUAUUCUGGCGGGCAUGCCUGUUCGAGCGUCAUUAUAACCCUCAGGCCCCCGGGCCUGGCGUUGGGGAUCGGCGGAGCCCCCCGUGGGCACACGCCGUCCCCCAAAUACAGUGGCGGUCCCGCCGCAGCUUCCAUCGCGUAGUAGCUAACACCUCGCGACUGGAGAGCGGCGCGGCCACGCCGUAAAACACCCAACUCUUCUGAAGUUGACCUCGAAUCAGGUAGGAAUACCCGCUGAACUUAAGCAUAUCAAUAAGCGGAGGA